GAUGAACGCUGGCGGCGUGCCUAAUACAUGCAAGUCGAGCGAACGGACGAGAAGCUUGCUUCUCUGAUGUUAGCGGCGGACGGGCGAGUAACACGUGGAUAACCUACCUAUAAGACUGGGAUAACUUCGGGAAACCGUAGCUAAUACCGGAUAAUAUUUUGAACCGCAUGGUUCAAAAGUGAAAGACGGUCUUGCUGUCACUUAUAGAUGGAUCCGCGCUGCAUUAGCUAGUUGGUAAGGUAACGGCUUACCAAGGCAACGAUGCAUAGCCGACCUGAGAGGGUGAUCGGCCACACUGGAACUGAGACACGGUCCAGACUCCUACGGGAGGCAGCAGUAGGGAAUCUUCCGCAAUGGGCGAAAGCCUGACGGAGCAACGCCGCGUGAGUGAUGAAGGUCUUCGGAUCGUAAAACUCUGUUAUUAGGGAAGAACAUAUGUGUAAGUAACUGUGCACAUCUUGACGGUACCUAAUCAGAAAGCCACGGCUAACUACGG
Molecule: ribosomal RNA, 496 nt
Filed under: uncultured bacterium
Lineage: Bacteria
Description: partial 16S ribosomal RNA
Rfam family: Bacterial small subunit ribosomal RNA
Source: RNAcentral